GCAAGGAAGAGCCUGGCAUGGCAGUGUGUGUCUUCAAUCCCAGCAUGGAGGAGACAAAGGCAGGAGGAGCUCUCUGACUUUGAGGCCCAGCCUGGGCAACAAAGCCAGUUCCGGGACAGCCAGGGCUACACGGAGAAACCCUGUCUCGAAAAAGGAAAACCCCAAACCAGGAAGUACUUUCGGCAGUGCUUCCUCCUCGUUUCUUUCCUCUUAAAAAAAAUAUGGAUGCUCUUUUAAAACAAAGCGGACCAUGUACCAAGAUCAAACGAUGGUAGGUGGAGGGAGGAAAGACUAGGGAGAAGACCGGGCAUCUGGUGUUCCGGCUUUCAGCUGUUCCGGCUUCCCUCUGAACUGUUGCGAGACACGGAGUAGGAGAGUAAACC
This 383-nucleotide long non-coding RNA is filed under the name Androctonus crassicauda. The record is from RNAcentral. Lineage: Eukaryota; Metazoa; Arthropoda; Arachnida; Scorpiones; Buthidae.